Molecule: non-coding RNA, 135 nt
Organism: Triticum aestivum (bread wheat)
Lineage: Eukaryota; Viridiplantae; Streptophyta; Magnoliopsida; Poales; Poaceae
Source: Rfam
AAUGUACUCCCUUCGUCCGAAAAUACUUGUCAUCAAAAUGGAUAAAAAGAGAUGUAUCUAGAACUAAAAUACAUCUAGAUACAACCCCUUUUAUUCAUUUUGAUGACAAGUAUUUCCGGACGGAGGGAGUACUUU